AUUUACUUCCGGAAUUUAAAGCCGGCUUCCGGAAGCCGGGACGAUGUCCCCAUGACAACCGACGUUGGAGUUUGGAGGUGCUUGCCUUAGAGCAAGGGAAACAGCUCUGAUUCAAAGGAACUAGAAGCCUCUCCCUCAGUGUUCCUCCUGCUGUCCUAUGACCUUUUUGUCAAUUCCUUCUCAGAACUGCUCCGAAAGGCUCCUGUCAUCCAGCUUGUGCUCUUCAUCAUCCAGGAUAUUGCAGUCCUCUUCAACAUCAUCAUCAUUUUCCUCAUGUUCUUCAACACCUUCGUCUUCCAGGCUGGCCUGGUCAACCUCCUAUUCCAUAAAUUCAAAGGGACCAUCAUCCUGACAGCUGUGUACUUUGCCCUCAGCAUCUCCCUUCAUGUCUGGAUCAUGGUAAGAGUAGAAGUCUGAAUUCUUUCUUUAAUUUUUAUUUUAAAUAGAGGUGGGGUCUUACUGUGUUACCAAGGCUGGUCUCUAACUCCUGAGCUCAAGUGAUUCUCCAGCUUCUGCCUCCCAAAGUGCUGGAAUUACAGGCGUGAGUCACUGUGCCCAGCCUGAACUCUGAAUUCCUGAAUCCCUAAAAGGCUAGGAAUAACUUUUCUUUUCUUUUCUUUUCUUUUUUUUGAGACAGAGUAUCGCUCUGUCGCCAGGCUGGAGUGCAGUGGCACAAUCUCAGCUCACUGCAACCUCCGCUU
This 701-nucleotide small RNA is filed under the name Pongo abelii (Sumatran orangutan). Its description in RNAcentral is "retained intron". The record is from RNAcentral. Lineage: Eukaryota; Metazoa; Chordata; Mammalia; Primates; Hominidae.